Molecule: transfer RNA, 66 nt
Filed under: Chorisquilla orientalis
Lineage: Eukaryota; Metazoa; Arthropoda; Malacostraca; Stomatopoda; Protosquillidae
Description: tRNA-Arg
Source: RNAcentral
AGGUAAAAAGCGAAAUAUUGCAUUCAGUUUCGACCUGACUUUUGGUAUUAAUUAUACCUUUACCUG